RNAcentral lists this ribosomal RNA (440 nucleotides) under uncultured bacterium. RNAcentral's name for it is "partial 16S ribosomal RNA". It matches the Rfam family "Bacterial small subunit ribosomal RNA", at positions 338 to 795 of the family's 1533-position model. The record is from RNAcentral.
CCUACGGGAGGCAGCAGUGGGGAAUAUUGCACAAUGGAGGAAACCCUGAUGCAGCGACGCCGCGUGAGUGAAGAAGUCCUUCGGUAUGUAAAACUCUAUCAGCAGGGAAGAAAAUGACGGUACCUGAGUAAGACUCCCCGUCUAACUACGUUCCAGCAGCCGCGGUAAUACGUAGGGGGCAAGCGUUAUCCGGAUUUACUGGGUGUAAAGGGAGCGUAGACGGCAGUGUAAGUCUGGAGUGAAAGGCGGGGGCUCAACCCCCGGACUGCUCUGGAAACUGUAAGGCUGGAGUGCAGGAGAGGUAAGUGGAAUUCCUAGUGUAGCGGUGAAAUGCGUAGAUAUUAGGAGGAACACCAGUGGCGAAGGCGGCUUACUGGACUGUAACUGACGUUGAGGCUCGAAAGCGUGGGGAGCAAACAGGAUUAGAUACCCCUGUAGUC